This is a long non-coding RNA of Melitaea cinxia (Glanville fritillary), 90 nucleotides long. RefSeq lists it as uncharacterized. The record is from RefSeq and is a predicted model, not a curated record. Lineage: Eukaryota; Metazoa; Arthropoda; Insecta; Lepidoptera; Nymphalidae. The transcript is spliced from 2 exons.
ACUUAGUCCUCAUCUACCAAUAGUUAAACGAAAUACAGGUGUUCGCAAUGAACUCAAAAUUUUGCAGCAUUACAUUUUUAUGGCAAUGGA